GGCAGUUCUCGGGUGACACACCCCAUAAUCAGGAUCCCUCCUCUCUGGUUCUGGCGUGUCACCCGAGAACCACC
Non-coding RNA from Myotis brandtii (Brandt's bat), 74 nucleotides. NCBI's taxonomy places the organism in Eukaryota, Metazoa, Chordata, Mammalia, Chiroptera, Vespertilionidae. The record is from Rfam.